This 497-nucleotide ribosomal RNA is filed under the name uncultured bacterium. RNAcentral's name for it is "partial 16S ribosomal RNA". It matches the Rfam family "Bacterial small subunit ribosomal RNA", at positions 28 to 507 of the family's 1533-position model. The record is from RNAcentral.
GACGAACGCUGGCGGCGUGCCUAAUACAUGCAAGUUGAGCGCUGAAGGUUGGUACUUGUACCAACUGGAUGAGCAGCGAACGGGUGAGUAACGCGUGGGGAAUCUGCCUUUGAGCGGGGGACAACAUUUGGAAACGAAUGCUAAUACCGCAUAAAAACUUUAAACACAAGUUUUAAGUUUGAAAGAUGCAAUUGCAUCACUCAAAGAUGAUCCCGCGUUGUAUUAGCUAGUUGGUGAGGUAAAGGCUCACCAAGGCGAUGAUACAUAGCCGACCUGGGAGGGGGAUCGGCCACAUUGGGACUGAGACACGGCCCUAACUCCUUCGGGAGGCAGCAGUAGGGAAUCUUCGGCAAUGGACGAAAGUCUGACCGAGCAACGCCGCGUGAGUGAAGAAGGUUUUCGGAUCGGAAAACUCUGUUGGUAGAGAAGAACGUUGGUGAGAGUGGAAAGCUCAUCAAGUGACGGUAACUACCCAGAAAGGGACGGCUAACUACGUG